This 252-nucleotide ribosomal RNA is filed under the name uncultured bacterium. Its description in RNAcentral is "partial 16S ribosomal RNA". It matches the Rfam family "Bacterial small subunit ribosomal RNA", at positions 525 to 776 of the family's 1533-position model. The record is from RNAcentral.
ACGAAGGGGGCUAGCGUUGCUCGGAAUGACUGGGCGUAAAGGGCGCGUAGGCGGUUCGUACAGUCAGAAGUGAAAUUCCUGGGCUCAACCUGGGGACUGCUUUUGAUACGUGCGGACUUGAGUGGGGAAGAGGGUUGUGGAAUUUCCAGUGUAGAGGUGAAAUUCGUAGAUAUUGGAAAGAACACCGGUGGCGAAGGCGACAACCUGGUCCUUUACUGACGCUGAGGCGCGAAAGCGUGGGGAGCAAACAGG